Long non-coding RNA from Oncorhynchus mykiss (rainbow trout), 823 nucleotides. RefSeq lists it as uncharacterized. Lineage: Eukaryota; Metazoa; Chordata; Actinopteri; Salmoniformes; Salmonidae. The record is from RefSeq and is a predicted model, not a curated record.
CUCAAUACCAUGCUUUUCACACAUUCACACACGCAUCAAUAAACAUCACACACACACACACACACACACACACACGCAUACACUCUUCCCCCAGUCACCGAGGCGGAAGGAGGGCUCCUAUCCCCCCUUCCACCUUCAUUAACUAUCCCUCCUUCCACUCUCAUUAACUAUCCCUCCUUCCACCUUCAUUAACUAUCCCUCCUUCCACCUUCAUUAACUAUCCCUCCUUCCACCUUCAUUAACUAUCCUGCCGUCCACCUUCAGUAACUCCCUUCUGACAAUCUAAGAUGAUCAAGCAAGUGGAUUCUGGAAUACAGUAUGGUUAUUAACUGACCGAUCGACCUCAUCCACCAUCAUGCACGACCUCCAAGCUAAAGACUCACGAACCUGACUUUACUGAAGAAUGGCUGAGGUCACCUGAAGAGGCAGGUGGAGAAGGCCCAGACCUUUGGCUCCUUACCAUCAAUACCUUCAUCACCGACAUUGAUGCAGAGUUGGACCUGGUCUGUGUACAGAUUUACAGUAACUGUUGGGGGCCGUGGAAGCGGUGCCAUGCUCACACUGGGCUGGAGGGGGUGCCGGAGCUGUGGCGCUGGGUCAGAGGCAGAGGCAAAGAGAGAGAAUUUACUCCGCCCAAAAUCAUUCCACGAAAUAAGACCACGAAGUGAGGAAUUUUAGUAUGGAGGUCAGCGAGUGUCGAAUUUGGUCAACAAUAAAUGUAAUUGCUAAUUUGUUACUUAAGGCUUAUUUGAUGGAAUAGACGUUUCAUAGUGGUUGUUACGAAUGCACUGAUAUAAGUGGACGGAUGUGGCAUUUCGACAUA